RNAcentral lists this unclassified non-coding RNA (1346 nucleotides) under uncultured Neocallimastigales. RNAcentral's name for it is "partial contains internal transcribed spacer 1, 5.8S ribosomal RNA, internal transcribed spacer 2, and large subunit ribosomal RNA". The stretch from base 593 to 1346 matches the Rfam family "Eukaryotic large subunit ribosomal RNA", at positions 1 to 617 of the family's 3401-position model. The record is from RNAcentral. Lineage: Eukaryota; Fungi; Neocallimastigomycota; Neocallimastigomycetes; Neocallimastigales.
AAAAUAAUCCUACCCUUUGUGAGUUUUGUUUGUUUGAAUAAUUUUUUUUUUAAAAAAUUAUUGGAGUCUUUCCCUUUAGAGUUUGCUUUUGAGUUUGUAAAGAAUUCGAAAACAUCUAAAGGGGAUGGUCAAUAAUUUUUUUGAAAAAAGACAUUUUUUAAAAUUAAACUUUUGUAUUCAUUUGUCUAAAAAUUAUUUUUAUUAUAUAAAAACAACUUUUGACAAUGGAUCUCUUGGUUCUCGCAACGAUGAAGAACGCAGCAAAAUGCGAUAAGUAGUGUGAAUUGCAGAAUACGUGAAUCAUCGAAUCUUUGAACGCAUAUUGCACUUUUUUAGUUUACUAAAAAAGUAUGUCUGUUUGAGUAUCAGUAAAAUAUUCUCAUAAAAAUCAUUGGUAUUUUUAUGGUUAUGAGUGUUUUACAACGAUACAAGUUGUUUCACUUUAAAUUUUUUUUUAAUAUUGAAAUUUUUCUAAUUUUAAUAAUUAAAAUUGGAUAAAAUUUUCCCGUCAAAAGGAAUAACCUAAACAAUUUUAAACGAUUAAUUUUAGCAAAAUUUUCGUAAAAAAAGGAAAAUUUUUAUUAAAAUAACUUGAUCUCAAAUCAGAUAAGAGUACCCGCUGAACUUAAGCAUAUCAAUAAGCGGAGGAAAAGAAACUAACAAGGAUUCCCUUAGUAACGGCGAGUGAAGCGGGAAGAGCUCAAAUUUGAAAUCUUCAAGGUUUUACCUUGACGAAUUGUAGUUUAAAGAAGUGUUUUCUGCUGAAGUUUUGGUAAAAGUUCUUUGGAAUAGGACAUCAUAGAGGGUGAGAAUCCCGUAUUUGACCAUUAUUUUCAGCUUUGUGAUACACUUUCAAAGAGUCGGAUUGUUUGGGAAUGCAGUCCAAAAUGGGUGGUAAAUUUCAUCUAAAGCUAAAUAUUGGCGAGAGACCGAUAGCGAACAAGUACCGUGAGGAAAGAUGAAAAGAACUUUGAAAAGAGAGUUAAACAGUACGUGAAAUUGUCAAAAGGGAAGCGUUUGACACCAGUGUUGUUCUCUCGAAAAUCAAUUAAAAAUGGCUCGAUUUUGUAUUGCUGAGACCUAAAAGCUCACUGUACAUUUUUCGUGUCUUUUUUAAUGCACUUUUCGUUUAACAAGUCAACAUCAGUUUCUUUGUUGUAAAAGGGUCAUUGGAAGGUGGCUUUCUUUUCGGAGAAAGUGUUUAUAGCCUUUGGCCUCUGCAAUCGGAGAGACUGAGGUCUGCAGCGUAGACUCUUCGGGUUAGAUACAUUUGUGCUAAGUUAUAGCUUUUUAUAGACAACUUGUUGACUAUAAUUAGUCUUGUAGCUUACUCGCUUAUGCUAUUU